UGUGGGAGCUGGCUUGCCUGCGAUGGCGUCGUGUCAGGCGACAUCUGUAGUGGCUGUGCUGGCGCUAUCGCAGGCAAGCCAGCUCCCACA
Molecule: unclassified non-coding RNA, 90 nt
Filed under: Pseudomonas cedrina
Lineage: Bacteria; Pseudomonadati; Pseudomonadota; Gammaproteobacteria; Pseudomonadales; Pseudomonadaceae
Source: RNAcentral